AGAGUUUGAUCCUGGCUCAGAUUGAACGCUGGCGGCAGGCCUAACACAUGCAAGUCGAGCGGUAGAGAGGUGCUUGCACCUCUUGAGAGCGGCGGACGGGUGAGUAAUGCCUAGGAAUCUGCCUGGUAGUGGGGGAUAACGCUCGGAAACGGACGCUAAUACCGCAUACGUCCUACGGGAGAAAGCAGGGGACCUUCGGGCCUUGCGCUAUCAGAUGAGCCUAGGUCGGAUUAGCUAGUUGGUGGGGUAAUGGCUCACCAAGGCGACGAUCCGUAACUGGUCUGAGAGGAUGAUCAGUCACACUGGAACUGAGACACGGUCCAGACUCCUACGGGAGGCAGCAGUGGGGAAUAUUGGACAAUGGGCGAAAGCCUGAUCCAGCCAUGCCGCGUGUGUGAAGAAGGUCUUCGGAUUGUAAAGCACUUUAAGUUGGGAGGAAGGGCAUUAACCUAAUACGUUAGUGUUUUGACGUUACCGACAGAAUAAGCACCGGCUAACUCUGUGCCAGCAGCCGCGGUAAUACAGAGGGUGCAAGCGUUAAUCGGAAUUACUGGGCGUAAAGCGCGCGUAGGUGGUUCGUUAAGUUGGAUGUGAAAUCCCCGGGCUCAACCUGGGAACUGCAUUCAAAACUGUCGAGCUAGAGUAUGGUAGAGGGUGG
This 658-nucleotide ribosomal RNA is filed under the name Pseudomonas sp. EB8(2012). RNAcentral describes it as "bacterial SSU rRNA". It matches the Rfam family "Bacterial small subunit ribosomal RNA", at positions 8 to 661 of the family's 1533-position model. Lineage: Bacteria; Pseudomonadati; Pseudomonadota; Gammaproteobacteria; Pseudomonadales; Pseudomonadaceae. The record is from RNAcentral.